This 330-nucleotide ribosomal RNA is filed under the name uncultured eukaryote. RNAcentral's name for it is "partial 18S ribosomal RNA". It matches the Rfam family "Eukaryotic small subunit ribosomal RNA", at positions 1470 to 1796 of the family's 1831-position model. The record is from RNAcentral.
CCCUUAGAUGUCCUGGGCCGCACGCGCGCUACACUGAUGCAUGCAACGAGUAUAUAACCUUGGCCUGAAAGGCCUGGGUAAUCUUUUGAACGUGCAUCGUGAUAGGGAUAGAUUAUUGCAAUUAUUAAUCUUGAACGAGGAAUUCCUAGUAAACGCGAGUCAUCAGCUCGCAUUGAUUACGUCCCUGCCCUUUGUACACACCGCCCGUCGCACCUACCGAUUGAAUGACUCGGUGAAAAAUUGGGACCGUGAGUCUGUUUGCUUCAUUGCGAGUGGAUUGAUGGGAACUUUUUUAAACCUCGUCAUUUAGAGGAAGGUGAAGUCGUAACA